This is an RNA transcript of Aedes albopictus (Asian tiger mosquito), 7961 nucleotides long. RefSeq lists it as uncharacterized. The record is from RefSeq and is a predicted model, not a curated record. NCBI's taxonomy places the organism in Eukaryota, Metazoa, Arthropoda, Insecta, Diptera, Culicidae. The transcript has 2 exons.
AUCAGACUACUUAAUCGAUAGCGUGAAUUUCUAAUAGUUUGAGGUUGGUAUAAUUGUAUAAUUUGAUUAUUUCCUAGAUUAUUUCUAUGAUUUAUCCAUGCAAAUUGAACCUAUUCUAAAACAUGCACAUGCCUUAAAUCUAAACCUACAAUGUAUUCCUAAAAUUACAGUAAAACAAAUAGUUAGUCGUGAUUGUUAAGUUAUGGAAUAUUCUGAUUAACGAUCAAGAUAAAACAUAAGUAAGUACGGAUUAUUGAACAUUUAGACCUGAGUUUAAUCAGAAUUUUAUAUUACUAUAGCUUACCUAACCUCAGAAUCUGUUACUGGAAUCAGGAUUGGAUCUAUCUGGAUAGUAAGGAAACUAAUUUGUAAGUGAUCAUUGAAUUCAUUCGACAGAUGUUUGUUUAAAUAAAGUUAUUCCUUCCAGUCGAGUAGCGGGAAAAACCGUACUGCGAAGCCGUUUUUUAACAUCCUCGAAAAUUACUGCAUCCAAUCAGGUUCCAGCCAGUAAUGAGCAGUGCAGCGAUGCAGUCUGUCAACCACUGCAAGGCAUGCAAUCGGCCGGACCAUGCCGACGAUAUGGUUGCAUGCGAUAUUUGUGGAACUUGGUUCCACUACACCUGUGCAGGAGUUCAAGCCUCUAUCUGCAACAAGCCAUGGCAUUGUGGAUAUUGCUCCAGCCGGGACGACGGCACUAACAGCUCAGCGAUUUCGGUCAGCUCCGGAAGCUCGAAUGCCCGUUUGCGGUUGAGGCAGCUAGAAGAAUCUAAGGCGCUGGAAGAUCGCCUUCUACUGCAGCAAGCUGAACGCGAGCGAGCUUUUCUAGCCGAGAAGCAUCAGCUGGAGGCUGAGAUUCAGUCGGACAAGCAGCUUAGAGGCAGCACUUCUAGCUUUAGGAGCCGACACAGUGCUAGGAGCCGUCAAAGUUAUAGAAGCGAGGUAAGAGCGUGGAUCAAUCAAUCGGUAGAUACUCCAGCGAAGACGGUGGAUCAUCAACCAGGGGCGUCAACAUCGACACCUAUUGUUUCCACUGGGAACGUGGUUCUAGCGGUACCAGAAGAACAAACGGUAUCAGCUCAGCCGGUUUCUUCUCUCGAUCAUCCGAUGGUAACCCAGGGUCUUGCCAAUCAACCUCCAUUCGUGCACCCCAACGUUGGCCAGGUCACAUCGAUUCUCCCACCAAGUGAUUUGCCGUCAGUCGUCGCACCCGUCGUGUCAGUAGCUAACAGCGACCCACCGAAAACAAUGACAAACUGCACAACUAUUCAUCCUCCUGAGCAGUCGUGUUCAGUUCCGCUUAGCAACGUCGUCCACCAAGAACAGCAGAAACAACACCCACUGCAUCAGCCUAACCGGCAACUUCCACCGACCGUUCUGUCAGGUCCGAAGCAGCCAGUGCUUUCAGGUUCGAAUCCUUUGGGAAGUCACGUUUCUGCCCGUGUACGCUGUGGAAGUCAAGCUCAGCUGCCAGAUGCUCAGCUACCCAGGAUGCAGCACCAAAUUCAUCAACGGUUCCAGCCGUGUGGUCAACAAACUGGUCAGCCCUUUCCUCCAACACUGAACCAGAACGCCUCUUCGUUUCCAGCACAGUGGCCACGAAACGCAAGUGUGACUUUCGUCGACAACCAGCAGUAUUUCCCAACUGCAAACCAGAUUCCCGUUGUGCAACCGAUCGGCGCUUCUCACCCGAUGAAUUUCUACCAACCGUCGUACCCUCGAUGGUCAACAGAAUCGGUGCCACUCCAGCAAUCGAGUACAACUGUGGGAAAUGUAGCAGGAACCUACGCAUCGGAACCACAACUCGAUCCAGCAGGACAUUCUAAUCAGCAGACACUUUUUGGUCAAGCUUCGAGCUUCCACCGAGCACAGGCUGCUGAAGGCAUAUUGAGCGCACAGCAGUUGGCUGCACGACAAGUGGUAUCACGUGAGUUGCCUAAAUUUUCAGGUGAUCCUCUUGAGUGGCCAAUGUUUAUAAACGCGUUUGAGUCCACGACGGCCAUGUGUGGGAUUCAACCAGACGAGAAUCUGGCCAGGCUACAAAAAAGCUUGGUUGGCGCUGCUAGGGAGAAAGUCCAGAGCAUACUAACUCUGCCGACGGCGAUCCCAGAGAUCAUUGAAACUCUUCGCGACGAAUGUGGCCGACCGGAACAGCUAGUUCAUUGUCUGCUGGUCAAAAUUCGACACGCACCUCCGCCCAAUGUCAACAAGCUUGAGACGCUAAUCAGUUUCGGAAGGGAGGUCAGAAACCUGGUAACCUUCAUUGACGGGGCGAAUUUGCAAGACCACCUGUCGAACCCGAUGCUGCUGUCAGAAUUGGUAGGGAAACUACCUCCUAGUCUUCGCCUUGAAUGGGGUCUUCAUACGCAAAGGGUACCGCAGGUCUCGCUGAGGGCCUUCAGUGAUUACGUCACAUCCAUCAAAACUGCUGCGUGCAAAGUGUCGCUGCCUACUGAUUCGCAUUCGGACGAGUACCGAAGAAGUAAGAAGGAGAAAGGGGGGUUCAUUAACGCGCACACCGUGGAGGAGAAGAGGAGCUCCCCGGUAUCGAGCCCGAAAAAGGAAUAUCAUCCAAAAUCCGAAUCGUAUGUCCCUAAACCGUGCCCUGCGUGUAAUAAUAGUGACCAUAAGCUCCGUACCUGCGAUAAAUUCAUUGGCUUCGGUAUGGAGCAAAGGAAGCGUCUCGUCGAUCAGCUUAAACUAUGCCAACGUUGCCUGGGAAGCCACGGAAAGUGGCCGUGCAGAUCAAAGCAAAUCUGUGAAACCAACGGAUGUAAGGAACCUCAUCAUAGACUGCUCCAUCCUGCGAACACCAAACCAAACAAUGCUGAGCAUGCAGGCCCGUCAGGAAUUAUCUCGGCUCACUGUUCUCGCCAAGCCGGCGUGUUAUUCAAGGUGAUUCCUGUCACCCUCUCCAGCAAUGGCAAGUCCGUCUCAACCUUCGCAUUCCUGGACGAUGGAUCGAAUGUCACGCUGAUGGAAGAAGCUAUUGCUGAUGAACUUGGGCUGAACGGGAAUAUCAGUUCGCUAUGCAUCCAGUGGACAGGGAGCGUUACCAGGAAGGAACCGUCAUCUAGGCAAGUGGAGUUGCGCAUUUCCGGUGUCAACGGUGGACCAGAUUACGCCAUAUCAGGGGUCCAAACAAUACCGCACCUGGACCUACCGCAACAAAGCCUGGAUUAUGAAGAACUCUCCAAACUAUUUCCGCAUUUGAAAGGUCUUCCUGUUCGAAGUUUUUCGAAUGCAGUUCCUCGUAUUCUCAUAGGUCUGGAUAACGCCGCGCUGAAGUUAACGUUGGACAAACGCGAGAGGCGUAGCAGAGAACCGAUAGCAGCCAAAACGCGACUUGGGUGGACAAUAUUCGGAGGUGGACACCGAGGAAUGCCACAUACCGAUCACGUGAUGUUCCACAUGUGCAACUGUAGCGCAGACGAGUCUCUCCACAAGCUUGUUAACGACUACUUCGCAGUGGAGUCGCUCGGUGUGAACCCUUUGCCACCUUUAGAGUCUUCCGAAGAUCAACGAGCUCGGCAGAUUUUGAUGCAGUCCACAAAGCGGACCGAGUCUGGCAGGUUCGAAUGCGGCCUCCUAUGGAAGAGCGACGAUUUCGAGUUCCCUUCUAGCUACAGAAUGGCUGAACGUCGCUCAAUCUGUUUGGAAAAGAAAUUUGCCAAAAAUCCAGCGCUGAAAAUGAAGGUAGCAGAGCAGAUCGACGAGUAUCUGCAGCGCGGUUAUGCUCAUAUUGCUACCGAGGACGAGUUACAGCAGUCUGAUCCACGUCACGUCUGGUACCUUCCCCUAGGUAUCGUCCAGAAUCCUCGCAAACCUGAGAAACUUCGCAUCGUGUGGGACGCAGCGGCCCGUGUAGGAGAUGUGUCACUCAACUCCAUGUUACUGGUCGGGCCAGAUCUUCUAACCCCACUGCUCAAGGUCAUCUGUGGAUUUCGUCAACGGCAGUACGUUGCAGUUGGUGAUGUCCGCCAAAUGUUUCACCAACUGCUGGUCAAGGAAAGGGACCGCCAAGCCCAAAGAUUCUUAUUUCGAAUCGAUCCCGAGCAAGCGCCAACGGUGUACGUCAUGGACGUCGUUAUCUUCGGCGCAUCGUGCUCCCCGUGUUUGGCGCAGCAUGUUAAAAACACCAACGCCAAGGACUUUGAGGAAACGUUUCCAGAAGCGGCGGCGGCGAUCAUCAACUGUACAUACGUUGACGACUUUCUGGACAGCAGAGACACGGUAGAUGAAACUGUGAGGAUCGUGAAAGAAGUGCGCUUGAUCUUCGAUAAAGCUGGAUUCGAGAUUCGCAACUGGCAGUCUAAUUCUGAUGAGGUACUUCGACGGGUCGGGGUCGACAGCAACGAUACUGCAAGAUGCUUUUCAGUUGAGAAGUCUACGGUUGCCGAACGUGUUUUGGGGAUGACAUGGGAUCCCAAGGAUGACAUGUUCGAAUUUGAAACCCAGUUCCGUGAAGAUCUUCAUCCGUUAUUAUCCGGAAGCAUCGUCCCCACAAAAAGACAAGUUCUCCGGGUCAUAAUGAGCCAUUUUGACCCCAUCGGGAUCGUAGCUACGUAUACAGUGCACGGAAAAAUUUUGAUUCAGGAUGUUUGGAGAUCCGGUGUUAGUUGGGACGAUCCUGUGACGACAGAUGUUUUUGAGAAUUGGCAGCGAUGGGUUCGAUUGGCUCCGCAUCUGAGACAGGUUCGAAUUCCAAGGUGUUAUUUCCCGAAUUACCACCCGGACAGCUACGAUUCUCUCGAACUCCAUAUCUUCGUUGAUGCCAGCCUAAUGGCAUACUGUGCUGCAGCGUACUUCAGGAUUUCCGACGAAGGUUCACCACGCUGUGCCCUAGUAGCCGCGAAGACGAAAGUUACACCUCUAAAACCUCAAUCGGUUCCAAGAAACGAACUGUGCGCUGCGGUGAUUGGAGUGAGACUUCUAAGGAGCAUCCAGGAGAAUCACUCCAUACCAGUCCAGAAACGCUACAUGUGGACUGAUUCAACGACCGUUCUCGCUUGGUUGAGAGCAGAUCCUCGGAAGUUCCGGCAAUUCGUUGCUUUUCGGGUUGCUGAGAUUCAGUCAGAAACAAGUAUCGAUGAAUGGCACUACGUCCCAACAAACCUGAAUGUCGCCGACAAGGGUACCAAGUGGGGAAGCGGUCCGUGUUUCGAUCCAGAUAGUCCGUGGUUCACGGGACCAGCAUUUCUACAUCGAGCGGAAAAGGAGUGGCCGCGUCAACCGGCCAAAUACGCAGAGCCUCAGGAAGAGACUAAAGCUGUUCAACACCACGUUGCAGUGUGCGACUCAACUAACGAUUUCGGAAAGUUUUCUCGCUGGAAGGAUCUAGUGAAGAACCUGAGCUACCUGCAUCACUUCGUCCAUCGCUGCCGAACUCCUCACCGAGAAACGACUGGCAGUAGGAUUGCAGUUUUGGAGCAGCGAGAUUACGUAGCAGCAGAGGCAAGUUUGUGGCGAGUUAUACAAGGCGCAGAAUACCCCGAAGAGGUAUCCAUUCUGCGUAAGAAUUGUGAGAUGCCCAGUUACGAACGCAAGCCGCUGAACAAGAGCAGCUGCAUUCGAAAGUUGUCACCAUUUCUAGAUGACAAAGGUGUGUUGCGGAUGAGUAGUCGGAUCAACGAAGUUUCGCUGUAUUACUCGGCAGAAUUCCAAAAUCCGGUGAUAGUUCCUAGGGGUCAUCAUGUCACCAAGCUCUUGAUUCUUGAACAUCAUCAACGCUACGGACACGCGAACGUCGACACUGUUGUCAAUGAACUGCGCCAACGGUAUUACAUCCCCAAGAUUCGUUCUGAAGUGAAGAAGGUCGUGAAACAAUGUAUGUGGUGCAAAGUCUACCGAGCGAAACCUGCUGAGCCAAAGAUGGCUACUCUACCACAUCCAAGAGUAGCGCCUUAUGUUCGUCCGUUUACCUUUACCGGCUUGGAUUAUUUCGGGCCUUUGAUUGUGAAGCGGCGGCGAUGUAAUGAGAAACGGUGGGUGGCACUAUUUACAUGUUUAACCAUACGAGCGGUACAUGUUGAAGUAGUGCAUACGUUGUCAACGGAAUCGUGUAGACUGACAAUCCGCCGUUUCAUAUCCCGAAGAGGUGCACCGCAACAGAUAUUUAGUGAUAACGGUACCAAUUUUCGGGGAGCUGCUCGCGAGAUUGCCGAUGAGAUCAAAACUAUCAAUCGGGAACUGGCCAAUUCAUUCACCAAUGCUGAAAUCGAGUGGAUUUUCAACCCGCCCUCUGCUCCCCACAUGGGUGGUGUGUGGGAGCGAAAGGUACGCUCAAUCAAAGACGCGUUCAAAUCUUUACACCAUAAGCAACACUUGAACGAUGAGGAGCUGGCGACCUUUUUGACAGAAGCUGAAAUGAUUGUCAACUCCCAUCCGUUGACUUUCGUGCCGCUAGAAGACUCUACAGAAGAAGCAAUUACCCCCUACAACUUCUUGCUGAUGAGUUCGAGUGGCGCCAACACUGCAUCGAGAAUACCAAUAUCUGAAGAGAUCUCCUUAAGAGUAAAUUGGAAACUGAUGCAACAACUUUUAAACCAGUUUUGGAAGCGGUGGAUUCAAGGCUAUCUUCCUACCAUAGCACGUCGGACCAAGUGGUUCAACGAUGUCCGCCCGCUCCAAGUUGACGAUCCGGUAAUCAUCGUAGACGAGACGGUUCGUAACGGAUGGCUUCGAGGUCGUAUUGUGAAGGUCUACACAGCGAGUGAUGGUCAGGUCAGGAAGGUUGAUGUCCAGACAGCAUCAGGAUUAUACCAGAGACCAGCGAUCAAAGUAGCUUUGUUGGACGUUCUGCAGAGUGGUAAGGCCGUUCAAAGGUAAGGCAUUACGGGUCGGGGUGUUGCGGAAUACGAAUGAUAGGCCCUUUGGAUCUGCUCUACAUGGAGGCGGCGGGACGUUGCGUUGAACGUCAACCGUGACAUAUCGAUGACAGCAUUGAACCACGAGAGCAAAUAGCAAAUGAAAACAUUACCACAAGACCGUAGAGUUAAUGAAUAAUUUAAUUUGCAAUAACUUGUAUUAUUUCUACUAUAAAUAAUUGAAUUAUCAGACUACUUAAUCGAUAGCGUGAAUUUCUAAUAGUUUGAGGUUGGUAUAAUUGUAUAAUUUGAUUAUUUCCUAGAUUAUUUCUAUGAUUUAUCCAUGCAAAUUGAACCUAUUCUAAAACAUGCACAUGCCUUAAAUCUAAACCUACAAUGUAUUCCUAAAAUUACAGUAAAACAAAUAGUUAGUCGUGAUUGUUAAGUUAUGGAAUAUUCUGAUUAACGAUCAAGAUAAAACAUAAGUAAGUACGGAUUAUUGAACAUUUAGACCUGAGUUUAAUCAGAAUUUUAUAUUACUAUAGCUUACCUAACCUCAGAAUCUGUUACUGGAAUCAGGAUUGGAUCUAUCUGGAUAGUAAGGAAACUAAUUUUCGAGUAGCGGGAAAAACCGUACUGCGAAGCCGUUUUUUAACAUCCUCGAAAAUUACUGCAUCCAAUCAGGUUCCAGCCAGUAAUGAGCAGUGCAGCGAUGCAGUCUGUCAACCACUGCAAGGCAUGCAAUCGGCCGGACCAUGCCGACGAUAUGGUUGCAUGCGAUAUUUGUGGAACUUGGUUCCACUACACCUGUGCAGGAGUUCAAGCCUCUAUCUGCAACAAGCCAUGGCAUUGUGGAUAUUGCUCCAGCCGGGACGACGGCACUAACAGCUCAGCGAUUUCGGUCAGCUCCGGAAGCUCGAAUGCCCGUUUGCGGUUGAGGCAGCUAGAAGAAUCUAAGGCGCUGGAAGAUCGCCUUCUACUGCAGCAAGCUGAACGCGAGCGAGCUUUUCUAGCCGAGAAGCAUCAGCUGGAGGCUGAGAUUCAGUCGGACAAGCAGCUUAGAGGCAGCACUUCUAGCUUUAGGAGCCGACACAGUGCUAGGAGCCGUCAAAGUUAUAGAAGCGAGGUAAGAGCGUGGAUCAAUCAAUCGGUAGAUAC